Molecule: ribosomal RNA, 774 nt
Filed under: uncultured Neocallimastigales
Lineage: Eukaryota; Fungi; Neocallimastigomycota; Neocallimastigomycetes; Neocallimastigales
Description: partial large subunit ribosomal RNA
Rfam family: Eukaryotic large subunit ribosomal RNA
Source: RNAcentral
UAUCUCUGUAGAGUCUGCAUAUCAAUAAGCGGAGGAAAAGAAACUAACAAGGAUUCCCUUAGUAACGGCGAGUGAAGCGGGAAGAGCUCAAAUUUGAAAUCUUCAAGGUUCUACCUUGACGAAUUGUAGUUUAAAGAAGUGUUUUCUGUUAGAUGAGUAGCAAAAGUUCCUUGGAAUGGGACAUCAUAGAGGGUGAGAAUCCCGUAUUUGGUUAUUCAUUCUAGCUUUGUGAUACACUUUCAAAGAGUCGGAUUGUUUGGGAAUGCAGUCCAAAAUGGGUGGUAAAUUUCAUCUAAAGCUAAAUAUUGGCGAGAGACCGAUAGCGAGCAAGUACCGUGAGGGAAAGAUGAAAAGAACUUUGAAAAGAGAGUUAAACAGUACGUGAAAUUGUCAAAAGGGAAGCGUUUGACACCAGUGUUGUUUUUCCGAAAAUCAAUUACGAAUGGCUUGAUUUUGUGUUGUAUUGACCUUAUCAGCUUUCUUCACUUUUUUCGAGUCUUUCUUAAUGCACUUUUCGGUUAACAAGUCAACAUCAAUUUCUUUUGUUGUAAAAGAGUAUUCGGAAGGUGGCUUUCUUUUCGGAGAAAGUGUUUAUAGCCCUAUACUUCUACAAUCGGAGAGAUUGAGGUCUGCAGCGUAGAUCCUUCGGGGUUAGAUACACUUGUGCUAAGUUGUAGCUUUUCAUAGACAACUUGUUGACUAUGUUUAGUCAUGCGGCUUACUCGCUUGUGCUAUUUUACCUACGCUUAGGAUGUUGACUGAUAUGUAGUCGUA